RNAcentral lists this long non-coding RNA (4293 nucleotides) under Citrus x clementina. RNAcentral's name for it is "Citrus clementina (C. clementina) long non-coding RNA (CCLE_LNC001868)". The record is from RNAcentral. Lineage: Eukaryota; Viridiplantae; Streptophyta; Magnoliopsida; Sapindales; Rutaceae.
CUUGGCUACCAUGCGUGUAAUUCCUUGUCAAGUGCUAAUUUGGUUUACUGAUGAAGAUGCUGAGCACAAGCUUCUGAAAAUGCAGAAUCACGAAUUCUUCGAAAGACUGCGAACCUUUGUGGAGAAAGACAACUGGGGCACUGGAAAACAUGUAGGUGGGAAAAUAAUUCUGAUGAUCGUUCAGCUCGUCCUUUGCUUCAUAAUUACUUUCUUCUUUCUUAAUUUCUCUCAUGGGUCUUGAUUUCUUCUUGAAUCUUGUUGAUGAUGAGUGGCAUAUGUCGAUAAUUCCUCACCAGAAAAUAAGAUAAAAAGGUAACUUUCUUAAUUUUUAAAAUGCUGAAUUUCAAUUUCAGGUACUAUUUAUUUUGUCUCUUUUAAGUUAUUUUUCAUUUUUCUGUUGAUAUUUUAAUAUUUACAGUCAAUUGUAGCGUUACUUAAAUUUAUAGUAUGUAGAUCAUAAUUCAUAAAUUAGUUUGCAGUUGGAGUAAACUCGAAAAUGUUAAAAAAAAUAAUAACAACAAAAAGAGUAGAGACAGGUUGUCAUCUUGAGUAACAAUAAAAUAAAGAAUUCCAGCUUUUACAAAGUCUUUCUUUAAAAAUAUGAAACGAAUAAAAUGACUAUUAAAAUGGUUCAAAAUUUUCUGAUACUGUCAUUGACUAGCUAGAUCAAUUGUUUCUUGUGUAGUAACUUCAAACACCAAAUCCUUGAAAGCAAGUAUAUUAGUUUUGUAUGGUGUUGCCCAGCCUUCUGCACAUGGUUCAUGAUAUUUGAUCCAACUAUUCGCAAUAGGAGGAAUAGGUGAAGCUGGAAGCAUGAACACCUGUAAAAAAAAAAAGCCAUAGAAAAAUUAGUCCAAUAAUUAAGAUAUUGUAGCAUAAUUUGAAUUUCUAAACUUUUACAUACCUCGAUGAAAUGAUUUCUAUUAACAAAUCCAAUAGCAAUGAUUUUAUGCGAGGAGCGUGAUAAUGGAAUAGAUCUAAGUGGAAGGAAUGUUAGAUUCAGCACAUCUGAUAUAUGUAGUAAUACCACAUUAUAUUUAGAAGCAAUAAUAUGACCAAUUUCAGGCAUGGUCAUCCAAUACUCUCUCCCUGGGUUAUUCUCAAAGUAUAAAAGUGAAUGAAGUAACUCCUCUGCUCUACCAGCAUAUUCAAAGACUCUUUUAUAAUCAUUAAAGUGACUUUGCAACUCAACAACUAAGUCUUUCCUGACUUGUGCCCAGUUAUCUUCACCAAUACCUAUUAGGCCAGCCACUGCCCGAAAACCACAAUUACCAUCUGCAGCAACAUCUCUAACACCACAAAUAUAAGGCCUCAAACCAAAUGGAAAUGAAUCAAUAUAAGAAGCAUGCUUUGGUGCUUUUGUUUGAGAAACAUUCAUUUUUCGUUGCCCUUUUGGUUUUUUUGUAGUUGUACUUGAAGACAUAAUGUCUGGAGAAUGAUUAUCCUGUGCGGAUACUACAUACUCAAAUCUUGAUGGAUCUCGGCGGGUAGAUUUAUCAAGCUUUUGGGAGGGUCGUCCUCGAGUCUUAGCUUUAACAGUUGGCUCAAUUAAAAAAGUUGAGGAUGGAUCAGCUAAUUCUUUCAGUUUUCUUUUUAUUUGCAUUUUUCCGAAACCAUCUGAAUCUUCAAAACGCUUGAUAAUCAUUUCCAUUUCAGGGGUACAACUCAACUCUGCUGAUUUUUCAUAGCUGGUGCAGACAAGGUCUAAUUUCCUCCAAUGCAAAUGUACAGAAUCUAAAGGUAUUGGUCGACCUUCACGCUUAUACUCUGCAAUUUCAUGUGCACACGGUAUCCCAUGAGUGUGUCGAACUACACAACCACAUGCUGAAAUAUCUAUACCAAUUAAAUCAGCUCUUUUUGACUCACUUAGUAUCAUAUCUAAUGCAUUUCUAGCAACUAAUCCCCUUAAUUCUUUAAAAACUGAAGGUGUGAAACUAUGUUGCACAGUAGUCAAACUCUUCUCAAAUGAUGCCUUAAUUUCUGUAUGUUGCAACUCUACUAAAGAAUGAAGUUUUGUCCAUAAUGUUACAAAGUUUCCUUGGGAUGAACAUAGUUGCCUUUUUAAUUUUGAAUGUGCAGUCUCAGCCCUAAAAAUAAACCAACAAAAAAAUAAUAAUAAAAAGAUAUAUAAAAAAAUGGUGUUGAGUUUAGUUAUAAAAUCAUUGAAAACUAAAUAUUGGUUACCUGUUGGUUGUCAUAUUUCCGAAAUGCAUAAUAAAGUCUGUCCAUGCUGCAAUAAAUUUUUCUUUAUACUUAUCAAGCCAUGUUUGCUUCACAUAGACAAGUGCUUUCGGAUAUCUAGCAUAAUCACUCUCAAAAAUACUCAAGUGUUGUAUGUACUCUUGUUCAGUGGCUGAGAACACCAGUACAUUCCAGCUGCUGUUAAAGGCUUCCCAUCUUUCAUUAGUCUCAAAUAGCCUCUUACAAUUAGUUAACACAUUUCUUGAAAUAUGCCAUCUACAAAGUAAAUUAGUUGCACUUGGAAAUAUCUUUUCAAUGGCAUUCAUCAGAGCUAAUUCCCUGUCUGUCACAAUCACAGUUGGUAACAUAUCAUCUUGCAUAAUGGUUUUCAAUCUUUCUAAUGCCCAAAUAUAGUUAUCUUCUCGUUCGGACUCAAGAUAUGCAAAACCAACAUUAAAUGUCAUUGCAGUCGAUGUGACACCAACUAUUUCCAACAACGGAAACUUAUACUUAUUGACUUUAUAAGUGCAGUCCAUUAUCAGAACACUUGGAAAAGCUUUUAACAAAUCAAAAGUAAGAGGAUGUGCCCAAAAUAUGUCUUUCACACAAUUUGUAUCAUCAUCACUCCGAUGCCACUCAAUGUAAUUAUGAUCAUGCAAUUUACUCAUAAGCUGUUGCAUUUGUGACCGCCCGCCCAAUUCGCGAACCUUAUAUUUAUACCGAGCAUUAUAAACCGUCUUCAUUGUUGUAACAUUAAAUGUAUCCCUAGUCUUUAAAGUAUGUAAUAUCUCUUUUGGCCGAACAUUAUUUUUAGACAAAUCAACCAAUAUACUAACCUCUUCAUUAGUAAGUCUACCUGCAAAUGAGUGGCCCUCAAGAUAUUGUGCAGAAUGAUGGUUAUGCAAUCCACAGAUUACUUUUAACACCCAAUCUUGAUUAUUCGCCAACAUUUGACCCUUUAAUAAAAAUGGACAGCCACACUUUUUUGUUCCAAUUGCAUUCGGUCUUUUCUUUUUUUCCAAGUCGCUAUUCUGCUUAGACAUGCUGGUACUUCUUUUCGGAUAUGCACCACUUCUUUCACAAGCAAAAAUUAUCCUUGGUCUCCUUCCAAUCACAUUCACGUCAGAUCUUUUAAUAACAAUCACAAGUCCAUUUUUUUUCCCAACAUCAUGCGUCCAUCGAAUCAACUCUUCUCUACUGGUGAAAACCUAUGAAAAAGACAAUAAUAUAUUAGUUAAUGAUACAAAGAAAAGAGAAUAUAUGUAUGAAAAUUUAUUUAGCAUUUUACCUCUUCAGUAGUGAAUGCAGCAGUGUAAUCCAUAACAUCUACUUUAUUAUCAAGAAUGGCAACUAUGGUAGAACUUUCCUCCUUCACAAUCAUUGUAAGAUAUUACAUAAGUUAAUACAAGACACAAAACUCGAAUAAUAGCAAUUUAUUCAGCAAUAAUCAACCAAACAAUUGACAUUUGUUAAAGGAUAUUUGUUGAACAUUGUUCAACGCUCUCCCUAUCAUUAUAAUUCUAAAACAAUAAAUUAAUAGCAAACUUACUUUUUUAUUAUCAUCCUCAUCUGUUUGCAUGAUUAUUUUGCCCUAAAUUUGAAACUCUUAGAUUAGGGUUUUUGAAAGAAAAGAGAGUUUAUAUCGUAUGCCACACAAAGAAUUUAAAACUCUUAAACAAAAAAAUGUCGUAUAAGAAAUUUUUAAGGGGAAAAAAAUAUUUGAUUUUGAGUGGGGGUUUAAUUAGAAAUUGUCUUAUUAUGUAAUUUUAAUAAAGGUUAAAAUUGUAAAAUAACUAAAGGGGUGUUAAGAGGCAUUUAGAGGGGUGCCAAUAGUCCCACUCGUUGUAAUUAAGCUUUUGAUUCUGAUUCCUAGGGCUUCUGAUCCUGAGGCUGGACAGGAUAUGGAGGUGCAGGAGGCCCAUAAUACUGUGGCAUUCUUGCUGCUUGACUUCGGCCUCUAUACCUACCAAGUAGAUAAAAUGCCAAAGCUACGAUCAAGAUGAACAGUAUGAACGGCAGCGAUACCUCAACAAUAUAAACCAUUUUCAACUCUAUUAAUCAACCAACCGACCAAUCAAUCACUGCUCUUCCUCCUCCAGCUACUUCUGCAUC